Molecule: long non-coding RNA, 1103 nt
Filed under: Mus musculus (house mouse)
Lineage: Eukaryota; Metazoa; Chordata; Mammalia; Rodentia; Muridae
Description: predicted gene 29154, transcript variant 6 (Gm29154)
Source: RNAcentral
UGAACAUUCCAGGCUCUGUGAACUAAGUGACUGAAGCUGAUUGACACAGGUCAAGGGGACUUCAAGGAAGAAAGCCAGCCUUAGACUGACAUCAGAGAACCAAACUCCGGUGUCUAAGCUCAAGAGGUUAGAAUCCUGAGAACUGUUUGGAAUAAGGAAUCCAAAUAUUGUCUUCCAGCUUCACCUUGUCACGACAGUCCUCGCCAGGGACAGCUGAGGAUGGAAACCAGCCCUGCACACUGCUGGCUCUGGAGGCCUGGUAGAUUAACAGGCACCGGACUUACAAUUGGUCUCUUAAGCCUUUCAACUCUUUAGAAGCAAAGGGGAAGGCAUGGAGGGUGCCAUGAAAUCAAAGACAUUGUUCGUAAGCUCCUGGAUCUUAUCAGUGUGAGGAAGUGUUCAAAAAAGUUCUGUCCCCCCUAGAGACAAAAAGACCUCUUCUCUGCCUCCCAGCUCCCAUGGCGCCUCUCUCGAUACGUGGCCUCUUCUGAUACUUACCUCAGCUUGGACACAGCUCUCUGAAGAUCAUCUACAUCUCCAUUUAUGCCGUGUGCACGCAGUACCAACAGAGGUCAGAGGAGGGUGUCGGAUCCCCUGGAACUGGAGUCACAGAUUCUUCCUUGCGUGGAUGAAACAGUCCCAACGAACACUUUAAAAAGACAAAUGUUCCCGACAGCACUGGUUGAAUUCAAAACUCGGCAGAUCCAUGUUCUUAUCCUUAGACAAGAGAGGGGCCAUAACAAGAUGGAAUGACGGAACAGACGUGAGAGAUGAUGGUACAGUGACUCGGGUAACCCCAGAAAAGGGACAGCUCUUCUACAGCUCAGUGGGGACAGGGACAAAAAGAAACAAUUUCAUUUCAGUCCACCCAGAGGGUCUGCACUUCUCGGAGCCAGAAGGUGGAGAAGAGUAGGGAUGGAGGAAGUUCGAAGUUUUAGGAGUCUGCUCUUGGGUCCCUAGGCAUGAGGACAAGCUUUUCCUGUACUCAAUGCUCAUCUCUCAGUUGUGCCCACAUUGGUACACAUUACUUGCUUUCAACUGCUGCUGCUGCUGUUUCCUAAUUCAAUAAAGAUAUGGCUGGCUCAGCAGAGAGCUGUCAUCCA